RNAcentral lists this long non-coding RNA (3717 nucleotides) under Homo sapiens (human). RNAcentral describes it as "HSALNT0068730". The record is from RNAcentral. Lineage: Eukaryota; Metazoa; Chordata; Mammalia; Primates; Hominidae.
CAGCCUCCCAAGUAGCUGGGAUUACAGGCAUGCAUCACCACACCUGGCUAAGUUUUGUUUUUUUUAGCAGAGACAGGGUUUCGUCAUGUUGGCCAGGCUGGUCUCGAACUCCCGACCUCAGCUGAUCCACCCACCUCGGCCUCCCAAACUGCUGGGAUCACAGGCGUGAGACACCGUGCUGGGCCCUGCUGCAGGUAUUAAUAAUGGAUUCCUUCUCACUGCAGCAUGGUAUCUCAGCAUGGGGGCACCCCAGCCUGUGCAUUCACCCACUGCAGGGCACCUGGGCGGUUUGAGUUUCUGGCCUUUGUGAAUAACACUGCUAUGAACAGACACAUACAGGUUUUUGUGUGAACAGAAGUCUUCAUUACUCUGAUAUGACCGCCAUGAGUGCAAGUGCUCAGUCCUCUGGUCGUUGCAUGUUGAGUUCGUUAAGAAACUGCUGAAGUGUUUUCCAGAACACCUGUGGCAUUCUCCAGUCUCCCCAGCCAUGCGCUUUAAAAAUGUAUUACCACCCACGGGAAUGAAUACAUUUUAUACCAAGGCCAGUAACUACACCCUCCCCCACCCGAUGUGUGAAACCACGUCUCCUUCUGCUCUGCGGGGACCCUAAUACCCCCUACGUCCUACUCUAUUCUCCUUCAUGUCUCUUUCAUUGUUAAAUGCUGGUCUCGACUCGGGAAGCGGAUUUCCAGCCCCCUGCUGCCUCCUUCAGUCUGGACAGGCUGGCUGAUGACGAUGCCCUGAGCCACUUCUAGGUGGAGGAGACACCCUCACCGUGCCUUCUGCGUGCCCAGUUGGAGCCGCCCCUGCCCGACAGUCCCAGGAGCCUGCUGGGAGGUGCUCACUCACCUGCUCCUGCCGCACCACAAACAGGACGUCCUCUCCAGGCCGCACGGCCACCGCCUCGCCUUGAAUGCUGACCUGCAGGCCCCGGGGCGGCGUGAGGGGGCACUGCAGCUGCACCUGACUCUGCUGCAUGUCCACCCCACCCUCACACACGUUGGACACCACUUUCCGGUACCUGGAUUGACAAGAGAGGGUCAGGGUCCGCUUCAGACAGGUGGCAAGGGAUGGGGCCCCAUAGUCUGGGGAGGGACGUGCUUGCCACCCAGAGGUGGCACUUGGCUUCCCACCCCUAGGACUCUACUUGCUAACUCCCAGUCACCUCCUGACUCCACCUGAUUGCUGUUACAGCCCCAUUUUAGAGAUGAGAACACUGAGGCUCAGAGGAAGAAGGACUGAUGGUGGCAGGAUGUGCUUCGGAGGCGCUGGCAUCUCCGUGGUCUGAUCAUAUUACUCACAGUAACAGUAACAGCCACCGUUAGUGCUGCAGAGGGGCUGUUUAAGCAGCCAGUUUCAAUUUCACGGUCUUGCUGAGAAAGGUGGAGGACAGAGUGCCCAAGAGGGCCUGGGGUCCUGCCUCCACCUCGCCACUGGCUCACAGUGUGGCCGUAACCAUGGGCACACACACCCCUCCUCCUGGGCUCCGUCUCCCUGUUCCCUUGAGAGAACUGGAUUGGGCGAUUCGUGACUAAUCACUGCGUUCAUGAGAAACCUAUUUACUGAGCAUCUAUUAUGGGCCAGGUAGUGGGAAUGGGGGUGAUCGCAUGCAGCCCCUAGAUGCUGUGCAGAGCAGACCCUCUAGUGGAGAGGCAGAGGCGGACCUGAGCAGAUCACGUCAGAGUGAAACCACAGCUGUGAUGGCGCUGGCUGGGGCAUCCCUGGGGACCUGGACCCUGACAAAGGGGCUUUCAGCGAGAAUGGGAGGAUGAGCAGGAGAAGAAAGAGCAUCCCAGGCCAUGGGAACAACAUGUGCAAAGGCCCUAGGGUGGGUCUGAGCCUGGAGGAGGAGCGGGUGUGGCACGAGGCUGGAGAGAGGCCCUGGGCAACCUUUUAGGAGAUCCCUAAAAGGGGUGGCCUCAUCCAGCUUGCUACUUGUGAAGCUCCCUCAGGCUACACUAUGCGUCUGUGAAAGUGGCAUUGCUGCCAAGGUGCUGGGGGUACCUGUCUCCCCAAGGCUGAUCCCCCCUCUUGCCCUCAGGGCCAAAUUCUCCCAGAUGGCUCUGCCACUGAAUAAGCAUUCAGAAGUUGAUCAUGCACAGGCCCAUUUCAUUAGUGCUUUGAAAGAAAAUACCCUUCUCUAAGGGCCACCCACCCAUGGCACCUACAGCGUGCAGAUGGUAUGAGAUGAAAUCCUUUGUCUUGAUCAAGAUCCUGGCUCUGACACUUCAGACAAGAGUCCCUGUUGUCAAGCCCAGGUGGAUGUGCAACCACUGCAGCUUCAUGAUACAUAGGCAGUAUGUCCAGCCUCUGGUGGAGGAAAAGCAUCGUAACUGCUUGCACUUGGUGAUGCCUUCCCCUCAUGCACAGCUUGUAUUCAGCAAACCACAGACUGAAGGAACACCUACUGUGUGUUGUGGAGCUUACAGUUCAGCAAGGAGGACAAUUAGGGCCUGCUAUGCACCCAUCUGUGAGGACAUCAAGGAACACCCACAGCCCCAUCCCAGAUGGGCACACAGGGUAACAAGGGAGGCAAAGGGAUGCUGUGAACUCAGAGAAACCUGGAGGGCUGCCUGGAGGAGCCACUGAGAAGGUUUAAAAAUGCACCCACAAAUUCCUUAAAGCUCCUUCCUGGAGUGUGGGCUGGUCUUGGUGACUUGGUUCUAACAGAUGGAAUGAGGCAGAAGUGGCAGUGUGCGACUGUGACACCAGGUUAUAAAAGGCGCUGAGGCUUCCUCCCUCACUCUGAGGGAAGUGGCCGCCAUGCUGUGAGGAUGCUCAAGCAGCGCCUGAGGCCUCGUGGCCAGGAGCCCGUCGCUCACCACAGGAAGUCCGAGUCCCGGCACUCGCACACGCGGGACGUGAGCGCCGACGUGAAGCUCCUCCCCUUGAUGCACCAGGACGUGGACUUUCUUUUCCGGAAACUUCUCUGCUGGCCCAUGAUACAGCGGUCGCCCUGCAGCAGGAACAUCAGGGUUGGAGAGCUCCCAGGAGCUGUAGUCCUCCUCGCCGCACUGCCUGGAGAAUGAGGGCCGGAAGUCCACCUUGACCAGCUCCCAAUCGGAGCGGAAGCUGAUGUGGCCAAAGACCCUGGGGUGGGAAGAGGAGGGAAGGGAGAGAAAACCACCUUCAUUAGGCCUUGUCCUACUGUGCAAAUCAUGUCCCCUCUGGACUCUGUUCCUACCUGUACCAUGGGCACAGAUAUCCUUCUCCUGCCCUUGCUGGAGAUCAGAGCGAGGCUGCCCCGGUCACCGAGCCUGGCCCUGCACACGUGCUCUGUAGGCUUCGGCGUGAAUAUUCCCACAACUACCACCUGUGAUCUAUGACUUGUCAAUUGCACUGCGUGAGUCGCUCUGGUUGGCCCCCAGUGGCCCCGCUUGAUGGACAGGGAAGGAGGCCCAGAUCCACAGCAGAGUUGGGAGCCCUUCCACGGCCCCCACAGUGGUCCUUGCAUUGUUUUGCGGAAUGAUCUGUGGUCAGGUGGCUGCAUCUGCAGCUGUCUGGCUUCUCCCUGGCUUUCUCCCAGCCUGACCGUGUGAGGGUUCCGUGCUGCAGAAACCCAGCUUUCUAUCGCUGGGCCACAGGGCAUUUGCUCCCUAGUAGAGGUGGCGAUUCAAAGAGAAAUAACAAGUCAGCAGGCUCAGCGCAGAGCCCACAGGAUGAGCAAGGUUGGCCCGUCGCAGCCUAGGUGGGUGGGGGAAGAGGCGGAAGACAGAA